CCUGAACGCUGGCGGCGUGGCUAAGACAUGCAAGUCGCACGGUGUAGCAAUACACAGUGGCGAACGGGUGAGUAAUGAAUCGCUAAUGUACCCUGGACUCUGGGAUAGCUGCCCGAAAGGGCAGGUAAUACCAGAUGAGACCACGAACAGGCAUCUGUUUGUGCUCAAAGGUCCGCCGGUCUGGGAGCAGGCGAUUUCGUAUCAGCUAGUGGUGAGGUAACGGCUCACCAAGGCGACGACGCGUAGCCGGACUGAGAGGUUGGCCGGCCACAUCGGGACUGAGACACUG
Molecule: ribosomal RNA, 289 nt
Filed under: uncultured bacterium
Lineage: Bacteria
Description: partial 16S ribosomal RNA
Rfam family: Bacterial small subunit ribosomal RNA
Source: RNAcentral